Molecule: ribosomal RNA, 478 nt
Filed under: uncultured bacterium
Lineage: Bacteria
Description: partial 16S ribosomal RNA
Rfam family: Bacterial small subunit ribosomal RNA
Source: RNAcentral
GACGAACGCUGGCGGCGUGCUUAACACAUGCAAGUCGAGCGAUGAAAUCCCUUCGGGGAUGAAUUAGCGGCGGACGGGUGAGUAACACGUGGGUAACCUGCCUCCAAGAGGGGGAUAGCCUCCCGAAAGGGAGACUAAUACCGCAUAACAUUAGUUUUUCGCAUGGAGAACUAAUUAAAGGAGUAAUCCGCUUUGAGAUGGACCCGCGGCGCAUUAGCUAGUUGGUGAGCUAACGGCUCACCAAGGCGACGACGCGUAGCCGACCUGAGAGGGUGGUCGGCCACAUUGGAACUGAGAUACGGUCCAGACUCCGACGUGAGGCAGCAGUGGGGAAUAUUGCACAAUGGGCGAAAGCCUGAUGCAGCAACGCCGCGUGAGUGAUGAAGGCCUUCGGGUUGUAAAGCUCUGUCUUUUGGGACGAUAAUGACGGUACCAAAGGAGGAAGCCACGGCUAACUACGUGCCAGCAGCCGCCGUAA